This 210-nucleotide non-coding RNA is filed under the name Candidatus Competibacteraceae bacterium. Its description in RNAcentral is "6S RNA". It matches the Rfam family "6S / SsrS RNA". Rfam says of the family: E. coli 6S RNA was the first non coding RNA to be sequenced, but its function was unknown until recently. It consists of 184 nucleotides that fold into an extended hairpin structure with a large single-stranded internal bulge. The 6S RNA specifically associates with RNA polymerase holoenzyme containing the sigma70 specificity factor. The record is from RNAcentral. Lineage: Bacteria; Pseudomonadati; Pseudomonadota; Gammaproteobacteria; Candidatus Competibacteraceae. RNAcentral also lists the same sequence under 1 other name.
CGUUCUCUGCGGCGUUCGAGUAGUGGACUGGGUACUCCUUGAACCUAAUUUGUUUUACCCAAGGUGAUCAGUUGUCGGCGCAAGUGUGCAUGUCCACUGGGUUGGCGAAUUUAGUCCAGCCCGGCGGAAAGCCUGACGCGCCGCCCUGUUCCCCGACUUGAUCCUCGCGGCUCAAGGGCAAAAGUCCGAGACGGCGCAGGCGGAGAACGC